This 1518-nucleotide ribosomal RNA is filed under the name Salmonella enterica. RNAcentral describes it as "partial 16S ribosomal RNA". It matches the Rfam family "Bacterial small subunit ribosomal RNA". RNAcentral also lists the same sequence under 1 other name. Lineage: Bacteria; Pseudomonadati; Pseudomonadota; Gammaproteobacteria; Enterobacterales; Enterobacteriaceae. The record is from RNAcentral.
GCUGGCGGCAGGCCUAACACAUGCAAGUCGAACGGUAACAGGAAGCAGCUUGCUGCUUUGCUGACGAGUGGCGGACGGGUGAGUAAUGUCUGGGAAACUGCCUGAUGGAGGGGGAUAACUACUGGAAACGGUGGCUAAUACCGCAUAACGUCGCAAGACCAAAGAGGGGGACCUUCGGGCCUCUUGCCAUCAGAUGUGCCCAGAUGGGAUUAGCUUGUUGGUGAGGUAACGGCUCACCAAGGCGACGAUCCCUAGCUGGUCUGAGAGGAUGACCAGCCACACUGGAACUGAGACACGGUCCAGACUCCUACGGGAGGCAGCAGUGGGGAAUAUUGCACAAUGGGCGCAAGCCUGAUGCAGCCAUGCCGCGUGUAUGAAGAAGGCCUUCGGGUUGUAAAGUACUUUCAGCGGGGAGGAAGGUGUUGUGGUUAAUAACCGCAGCAAUUGACGUUACCCGCAGAAGAAGCACCGGCUAACUCCGUGCCAGCAGCCGCGGUAAUACGGAGGGUGCAAGCGUUAAUCGGAAUUACUGGGCGUAAAGCGCACGCAGGCGGUCUGUCAAGUCGGAUGUGAAAUCCCCGGGCUCAACCUGGGAACUGCAUUCGAAACUGGCAGGCUUGAGUCUUGUAGAGGGGGGUAGAAUUCCAGGUGUAGCGGUGAAAUGCGUAGAGAUCUGGAGGAAUACCGGUGGCGAAGGCGGCCCCCUGGACAAAGACUGACGCUCAGGUGCGAAAGCGUGGGGAGCAAACAGGAUUAGAUACCCUGGUAGUCCACGCCGUAAACGAUGUCUACUUGGAGGUUGUGCCCUUGAGGCGUGGCUUCCGGAGCUAACGCGUUAAGUAGACCGCCUGGGGAGUACGGCCGCAAGGUUAAAACUCAAAUGAAUUGACGGGGGCCCGCACAAGCGGUGGAGCAUGUGGUUUAAUUCGAUGCAACGCGAAGAACCUUACCUGGUCUUGACAUCCACAGAAGAAUCCAGAGAUGGAUUUGUGCCUUCGGGAACUGUGAGACAGGUGCUGCAUGGCUGUCGUCAGCUCGUGUUGUGAAAUGUUGGGUUAAGUCCCGCAACGAGCGCAACCCUUAUCCUUUGUUGCCAGCGGUUAGGCCGGGAACUCAAAGGAGACUGCCAGUGAUAAACUGGAGGAAGGUGGGGAUGACGUCAAGUCAUCAUGGCCCUUACGACCAGGGCUACACACGUGCUACAAUGGCGCAUACAAAGAGAAGCGACCUCGCGAGAGCAAGCGGACCUCAUAAAGUGCGUCGUAGUCCGGAUUGGAGUCUGCAACUCGACUCCAUGAAGUCGGAAUCGCUAGUAAUCGUGGAUCAGAAUGCCACGGUGAAUACGUUCCCGGGCCUUGUACACACCGCCCGUCACACCAUGGGAGUGGGUUGCAAAAGAAGUAGGUAGCUUAACCUUCGGGAGGGCGCUUACCACUUUGUGAUUCAUGACUGGGGUGAAGUCGUAACAAGGUAACCGUAGGGGAACCUGCGGUUGGAUCACCUCCUUACCUUAAAGAA